This 423-nucleotide ribosomal RNA is filed under the name Triticum aestivum (bread wheat). Its description in RNAcentral is "partial small subunit ribosomal RNA". Lineage: Eukaryota; Viridiplantae; Streptophyta; Magnoliopsida; Poales; Poaceae. The record is from RNAcentral.
AUGAAUGAUGAUGAGGAAGAGGAUGAUGCAUCAAGUGAUGACGGCAAGAGAAGCCCCACACCCAACUCGGUUUCAUACUCGAAGCCAAAACGACCGGAUGGGUGCAAGAAAGACAAAACCGAAAAGAAGAAGAGGAAAGGAGAUGAUGAGCUCAAAAAUGCUAUGGAAGCUAUUGUGAAGGCAAGGGUCGAAGCCAAUGAGGUGAGGAAAAUGGCAAGGAACCAAGAUGCCGUGGCCGAGGAGAGGAGGUUGGCGGCCGAGGAGAGAAGGGUGGCGGCCGAGGAGAGGAAGGUGGCUUUGGAGGAGAGGAAAGUGAGCAAUGAGGAGCGAGCUAAGUUGUUGGAAUGGGAGAAGCACUUGUUCUUCUUGGACACAUCUAACCUCAAUGCGGCGCAAAAGGAGUAUGGCAAUCUUGCCCAAUAA